This is a long non-coding RNA of Salvia splendens (bonfire salvia), 790 nucleotides long. RefSeq lists it as uncharacterized. The record is from RefSeq and is a predicted model, not a curated record. The transcript is spliced from 3 exons. Lineage: Eukaryota; Viridiplantae; Streptophyta; Magnoliopsida; Lamiales; Lamiaceae.
GUGGAGUACACAAUUUAAAUAAAAUUCUAACAGGGUCUUGAGCCCAAACGUAUACUUAUUCAAAUAAUAUCCCUGGCCCAAUCCUAUUUCCUUUUGAGCCCAAUACUCUAAAUUCUUCCUUCCACCAUCAGGAGCCCUUCUCCUCACCCUUCACGUGAAUCCUCAUUUCUACAGAGAAACAUCUUUCAAAUUUCAAAAUUCAGUCAAAGCAAUUAAUCCCAAAUUGAUUAAGCAAUCAAAUACAAAAAAUUCUCCCCUCCCACGUCCCAGCAAUUACGUCUCAGCAAUUACUCCCUCUUCACCCAUUCCUGCAAAUCUUUCCUAAUUUUGGACGCAAUCAAAGUGAAAUCAAGCACCAAAAAUUGCUCUCAGUACACAGAUAUAUAAAUCUUCCUACCCUAAUCUCCUUCCCUCACACAAAUUCGCAGCCACUCACUUCUCACUGUUGAAUCGCAAAGCGGCGGAGGGAGCAGUAGGAAGAAACUUUAUUUUUCCUCACCGAAUCCUAAUUCCAUCACGGUAACCACUCUCUCAUCCUCCUUUCAUGUUCUUCCUCAUAAAAUGAAAUAUCGUUUACCCCAAAGCCUUCUGACAGAAACUAGGAUCGAUUCGAGAGGGGGACAAGCCAGAAACUGCAAUCUUUUGUUUCAAUCCAAUCUGUUCUUUUGAAGGUGAAUCCUCGCAAGCGAAACGUGAUACCAAGGGGAAGAAAAUACUUGUGAUCUAAGCAGUCGAGGUUGAGCGGCGACGAGCGGUUGGCGGUGUUGAGCAAAUUAAAUGAAGAAUUAAA